This 200-nucleotide unclassified non-coding RNA is filed under the name soil metagenome. Its description in RNAcentral is "partial contains internal transcribed spacer 2 and large subunit ribosomal RNA". The record is from RNAcentral.
UGCUGCCGUUGAUAUCUAUGGCUCGUCUGAAAUGCCUGAGUGUACCCCGCCUUGCGGCGUAUUCGGUGUGAUACAUCUUCACCGGAGUUGAUCCUUAUGGGUCGCGUCUGUAAUGUGUGGCUCUAUGCUUCCAACCGUCUUUCAUGGACAAUCUCUGACAAUUUGACCUCAAAUCGGGUGGGACUACCCGCUGAACUUAA